UACAGAGGUCUCAAGCGUUGUUCGGAUUCAUUGGGCGUAAAGGGUGCGUAGGUGGCGCCGUAAGUCGGGUGUGAAAUUUCGGAGCUUAACUCCGAAACUGCAUUCGAUACUGCGGUGCUUGAGGACUGGAGAGGAGACUGGAAUUCAUGGUGUAGCAGUGAAAUGCGUAGAGAUCAUGAGGAACACCGGUGGCGAAGGCGGGUCUCUGGGCAGUAACUGACGCUGAGGAGCGAAAGCGUGGGGAGCGAACAGG
Molecule: ribosomal RNA, 253 nt
Filed under: uncultured bacterium
Lineage: Bacteria
Description: partial 16S ribosomal RNA
Rfam family: Bacterial small subunit ribosomal RNA
Source: RNAcentral